GACGAACGCUGGCGGCGUGCUUAACACAUGCAAGUCGAACGGAAAGGCCCUGCUUUUGUGGGGUGCUCGAGUGGCGAACGGGUGAGUAACACGUGAGUAACCUGCCCUUGACUUUGGGAUAACUUCAGGAAACUGGGGCUAAUACCGGAUAGGAGCUCCUGCUGCAUGGUGGUGGUUGGAAAGUUUCGGCGGUGGGGGAUGGACUCGCGGCUUAUCAGCUUGUUGGUGGAGUAGUGGCUUACCAAGGCUUUGACGGGUAGCCGGCCUGAGAGGGUGACCGGCCACAUUGGGACUGAGAUACGGCCCAGACUCCUACGGGAGGCAGCAGUGGGGAAUAUUGCACAAUGGGCGGAAGCCUGAUGCAGCAACGCCGCGUGCGGGAUGACGGCCUUCGGGUUGUAAACCGCUUUCGCCUGUGACGAAGCGUGAGUGACGGUAAUGGGUAAAGAAGCACCGGCUAACUACGUG
This 468-nucleotide ribosomal RNA is filed under the name uncultured bacterium. RNAcentral describes it as "partial 16S ribosomal RNA". It matches the Rfam family "Bacterial small subunit ribosomal RNA", at positions 28 to 507 of the family's 1533-position model. The record is from RNAcentral.